AAUAGAUACCCAGGUAGUCCACGCCGUAAACGAUGGAUACUAGCUGUUUGGGCGUAAGCUUGAGUGGCUAAGCGAAAGUGAUAAGUAUCCCACCUGGGGAGUACGGGCGCAAGCCUGAAACUCAAAGGAAUUGACGGGGGCCCGCACAAGCGGUGGAGCAUGUGGUUUAAUUCGAUGAUACGCGAGGAACCUUACCAGGGCUUAAAUGUGUUUUGACCGAUCUGGAAACAGAUCUUUCGCAAGACAAAAUACAAGGUGCUGCAUGGUUGUCGUCAGCUCGUACCGUGAGGUGUCAGGUUAAGUCCUAUAACGAGCGCAACCCCUGUUGUUAGUUGCCAGCGAGUCAUGUCGGGAACUCUAGCAAGACUGCCAGUGUAAACUGUGAGGAAGGUGGGGAUGACGUCAAAUCAUCACGGCCCUUACGUCCUGGGCCACACACGUGCUACAAUGGACGGUACAGAGAGCAGCUACCAAGUGAUUGGAUGCGAAUCUAUAAAACCGUUCUCAGUUCGGAUCGGAGU
Molecule: ribosomal RNA, 521 nt
Filed under: uncultured bacterium
Lineage: Bacteria
Description: bacterial SSU rRNA
Rfam family: Bacterial small subunit ribosomal RNA
Source: RNAcentral